This 460-nucleotide ribosomal RNA is filed under the name uncultured bacterium. Its description in RNAcentral is "partial 16S ribosomal RNA". It matches the Rfam family "Bacterial small subunit ribosomal RNA", at positions 338 to 795 of the family's 1533-position model. The record is from RNAcentral.
CCUACGGGAGGCAGCAGUGAGGAAUAUUGGUCAAUGGACGAGAGUCUGAACCAGCCAAGUAGCGUGAAGGAUGACUGCCCUAUGGGUUGUAAACUUCUUUUAUAUGGGAAUAAAAUGUUCCACGUGUGGGAUUUUGUAUGUACCAUAUGAAUAAGGAUCGGCUAACUCCGUGCCAGCAGCCGCGGUAAUACGGAGGAUCCGAGCAUUAUCCGGAUUUAUUGGGUUUAAAGGGAGCGUAGGUGGAUUGUUAAGUCAGUUGUGAAAGUUUGCGGCUCAACCGUAAAAUUGCAGUUGAAACUGGCAGUCUUGAGUACAGUAGAGGAGGGCGGAAUUCGUGGUGUAGCGGUGAAAUGCUUAGAUAUCACGAAGAACUCCGAUUGCGAAGGCAGUUCACUGGACUGCAACUGACACUGAGGCUCGAAAGUGUGGGUAUCAAACAGGAUUAGAUACCCUAGUAGUC